AUUAGAUAUAAGCCGAAUUUCAAUUGAAAACGGGGGAACCAUAAGAAGUGAACGGUGCUUGAAGACGUAAGUUUGAGCGCCGAUCUUCAGGGGUGAAUUUCGUUCCGGGAACGAAUAGGGCAGCCUGCAGCCGCCCGAAUCCGUCAGCUAACCUCGUAGGCUUCAGAACACUGCAGGA
Molecule: small RNA, 178 nt
Filed under: Bacillus sp. (in: firmicutes)
Lineage: Bacteria; Bacillati; Bacillota; Bacilli; Caryophanales; Bacillaceae
Description: Bacillus sp. c-di-AMP sequence
Rfam family: c-di-AMP riboswitch aptamer (ydaO/yuaA leader)
About the family: This family represents a conserved RNA structure found upstream of the ydaO and yuaA genes in Bacillus subtilis and related genes in other bacteria. The ydaO/yuaA element is thought to act as a genetic "off" switch for the ydaO and yuaA genes in its native state.
Source: RNAcentral